GGAUAGAAAGAAGGGGAGAAGGAAGCAAACACUAGGGAUUCUUUUCUUCCUUUUUGGUCCAUGUAGGGUAAAGACACCUGACAGCAAUAACUUAAGCACACCCUUAGAAUGACCCUGUAUGGCGGAUGCAUCGAAUUUGUGUUCUGGGCUAGAGAAUCCAGGUGUGGCCAACUUGAGGAUUCAUUUGUUGUCUAUGAGGAGCAUCUGAGCCCUGCCUGCCCUUGUUCCAACCAUCGUUCCGUCCCAUGAAACAGGCUGUACAGGAGAUGGAGGCCCCAAGUUUGGGUUGAAUGAAGGUUGCCAGGUGGAGGUUGUUAGGGAAAGGGUGUGCCAGGUGCAGGUUGUUAGGGAAAGGGUGCUGAGUGAAAACACUACCUAAAUUGCAUGCCUUUUGCAAGUGGUUUUGGUUCUUCUGCCUGGCCUGACCCUACUGGGCCCUGGGGUUAUCUUGUCCAUCACUGGACUCUCUCCCUUGUAUGUCACCCCGUAGUAAAACCUCCACAGAUCUCAUUUCUGGUUCUGUGUCUCUUCUUUGGCCUCUUGAACCUGAUGCCUUUUCUGUUGAGGUUAAUAGGGCGUAGGCACAGCAGUCAGGAUGGACUAGAGAAAGUGAAGAGGUGGGGGGACAGUAAGGUGCUUCCUAAAGUUGAAGAUAAAGAUCCCUUCUGAGAAGGAAAUUAUGAAAGAUCAACACAACUAACCCGCCUUAAACUGGAAUGUGUAUGUGGCUGACAUUUCCUAAUGGAAGAGCCUAGGUAUAGCAUGAGGAAAUUAGCAUGUCUAAACCCAGGGUUCUACUCUUUCCAUUGUAACUUUCUUUGGCAAGAGUGAUAACCCUUGGAGUUAGCCUUCACUGCAUCUGCAAGCACAGAGUACAAACAUCAAGGAUUGUUCACAGGAAAGAGCCUGGACUGGCUGUUCCAGCAUCCUUGGCAAGAGUACCUCGACAGCGGAGACAGAUGCAUUGGACUAUCAUAGCUUGGCGACAAGAGCCAUUAAGACCAUUCUUGAAUUCCCUUCUCUAUGAUUCCAUCCUCAUUUUUAAUUGUGCUUUGGCGAUCUGUGUAGCUUUUGCAUAGCAAGAUAAUGAGCUGAUCGGCCAAUGCCAGGAUUUUAGUCCAUUUGACAUUAUUUCUUCUUCAUAAAUUAGUAAUUUGGCAUUCUGGUUCGUAUAUCAAUAUCGUGUGGGUUUUGUAAGAAUGAGCAACUGGAGCAGGAGUUCUUAACCUGUAAACCAAGGGCAGGCUUCAAGGGAUCCAUUAAGCCCUAAGAUUAUGUGCAAAAGUGUGAGUGUGCCCUUGCAGUGUGCAUUUAUCAAGGAGAGGGGGCAAUAGCUUUCACCAGAUUCUCAUAGAGGGUUUCAAAUCUGGAUACACUGGCAAAAUAGUAUUUCUGGGCUUCUAAAACUGAAGUGACCACAAUAAGACAGUGUGCUUUAGUGUGCUGUAAAACAAUGCCUAUCAGGAAGGGGGUAUUCUUUUGUUGUUGUUGUUCUCACUCUAACUAUAAUAUCUUAAAUUGAGGGGAUUAUUCAUAACAUGGUUUUGUUUUUCUUUUCACAGAAUACCCUGGGAAUAUUUUCUUGUGCUAUUCUUCUUUUACGACACCAUUUUAAAUAACUUCAUAAAAUUCAAUGGCACAAAUUCAUCUUAUGAGAAAUAUUUUAAAAGUUUAUUCACUAAUAACCCCUAAGAGGCUUACUGUUUAUGUGAAAUGUAGACUUGUUUUUAUUAAUAGAUACUAAGUGUGAGAAUGAAUUGCAGUCACUAUUAUUGACAGCUAAUAUUUAUGACACACUAGCUCCAUACCAGGCAAUGUGCUAACUGCUUUGCAUAUGAAAUCUGGCUGUGAGUUUUACAACAGCCCUGGGAGGUAGAUAUUAUUAUUUUCACUCAACAGCUGAGGAAACUGAGAUAUAGAAAAGUCAAAGAACUUUCUGAGGUCACAUUGCACUCAGCAGUGGAGUCAAGCUGCCAGGCCACAUCUGGCUGCCCUUCCCCCCUCACCAUAAUACUCAAUGUCUUUAUCCUUUAAGCUCCAUUUGGACGUACUUCAACCUUGAAGUUUUAUUCUCACUCAAAGUCAUUUCUUCCUUUGUGGAAGUCCUCUGGUUCUUCAACUGGCUCCAAAUCACCCCCCUUAGCACCAUUAGAGUAUUACCUAACUCAAGGGUCAGCAAACUUGCUGUCAAGGACUAGAUUGUAAAUAUUUUAGAUUUUGUGGCCCAUAUGGUCUCUGUCACAAUUACUCCACUCUUGUGCCCACUGUAGCAUGAAAGCAGCCAUAGAUAACCACUAAAUCAGUGAAUGUGGCUAUGUGCCAAUAAAAUCUUAUUUGUGGACAUUGAAAUUUGAAUUUCAUGUAAUUUUCACAUGUCAUAAAACGUGUUCUUCUUUUGAUUUUUUCCAAUCAUUUAAAAAUAAACUAUUCUUAGCCCAUGAUCUGCAACAAAAACAGGUGGCCAGCUGGAUUUGACCCAUAGACCAAAGUUUGCCAGCUGUUCAGACUGCAUCUUCUGUGUUCAUAUUCUCCACAACUACGUAGAACAUCUUUGAGCUUAAAAACUAUAUCUUAACCCUUUCUGACUCUCCACAGAAUCUAUAUACAGGGAUAGACUCAUAAUUAAGUACUCAACAAAUACUAAUAAUCAACAUUAAUAGUAUUGAUGCUUUUCACCCUCAGAGCCAUAUCUAAGAAGAAAUAAGUCCAUUUCAAAACGUUUUCUUCACCCUUUUCCCUCUCUAAUGAAAUUCUGUAUCUCUGAAGUACCACAGCAGUUUUUUGGUUCUGAGUGCUGAUAAGCAAUACCCACGUGCUUGGUUAGCUUAAAGGUCAGAUGCUAUCCUGGCCAGAGGCCAAGGAAUACAGCUGGUGAAAAUUCAAGCUGUCACACACUUGUUGCUAGCCUGAAUUUCUAGUUCCUUCAUCAUGAAUUAUUAGAUUGUUUAUCAUAACCAUUUGCUGCAUGAACAAUCAUUUUUAAAGCCAUAAUCCCCCACCGGGAGAGAUGUCAUGACUCAAUGGGCUCAAUUUAGGACCAUGAGAAUCCUGCUGCAGGACUGGCUGCCAUGCAUCUUCUGUGGGCCUUCAUCUGUCAAUGGAGGAGAAAAUGGAUAAUGAUGAAGCCCACAGAUUUCACUCCAGAACUGACUUUGCUGCAGAGGAGCGAGGAGAGCUGCCUGGCAACACAACGCAUUGCUGUGCAUAAACUUUGUUUACAGCCAAGGCUGGAGUAAAGGAACAGAUGGCAAGAAAAUCGGAUUUAAAGAAAGGAAGGAUGUGCCUGCAUCUGGGAGCUCGGUAAAUCUCUUGGCUUCUGGUGUGCAUACAAGGGUGACGUCUAGCUACCCCAGCAGUCGCGUCCCAGUUUGCUGUUGAUUUUUGCCUGUUUGGAUCUGUCUCUGAGGAUGGUUAAUACAUCUUAUUACAAGCAUUUAUCUCAUCCCUCCCACAGGAAAUGUGUUUUCCCAGGGAUUUGUAUGAUCCCUAACCUUUUAUGGAGAGCAGUUUCUUGAUCAUCCAUGUGAUUGUGUAUCUAAAAUUUCAAGAAUAUUUAAGCUGUUAAUCCUGCUUGUCUGUAGAAGAUGGGUUUAUAUUUCUAUGAUCUUGGAAAUAUUUACAAUGAGUGUGUAUAACAAGGAGAAAUAAGCAUAAACAUUUAUGCGUGCCACAUUC
Non-coding RNA from Chlorocebus sabaeus (green monkey), 3675 nucleotides. The record is from RefSeq and is a predicted model, not a curated record. Lineage: Eukaryota; Metazoa; Chordata; Mammalia; Primates; Cercopithecidae.